AGAGUUUGAUCAUGGCUCAGGAUGAACGCUAGCGGGAGGCCUAACACAUGCAAGCCGAGCGGUAGAGAUUCGUUCGGAUCUUGAGAGCGGCGUACGGGUGCGGAACACGUGUGACAACCUACCUUUAUCUGGAGGAUAGCCUUUCGAAAGGAAGAUUAAUACUCCAUAAUAUAUUGAUUGGCAUCGAUUGAUAUUGAAAGCUCCGGCGGAUAGAGAUGGGCACGCGCAAGAUUAGCUAGUUGGUGAGGUAACGGCUCACCAAGGCGAUGAUCUUUAGGGGGCCUGAGAGGGUGAUCCCCCACACUGGUACUGAGACACGGACCAGACUCCUACGGGAGGCAGCAGUGAGGAAUAUUGGUCAAUGGGUGCAAGCCUGAACCAGCCAUCCCGCGUGAAGGACGACUGCCCUAUGGGUUGUAAACUUCUUUUGUAUAGGGAUAAACCUACCCUCGUGAGGGUAGCUGAAGGUACUAUACGAAUAAGCACCGGCUAACUCCGUG
RNAcentral lists this ribosomal RNA (500 nucleotides) under uncultured bacterium. RNAcentral's name for it is "bacterial SSU rRNA". It matches the Rfam family "Bacterial small subunit ribosomal RNA", at positions 8 to 507 of the family's 1533-position model. The record is from RNAcentral.